AGGAUUUCGGAGCCAAAGGCAGAUCAGGGUGCGAGAGGUGCCAAUAUACUGGAAAAUCAGUGGGAUAUGAAUGGAGUACAAGGGGCAUUGUAUGUAAACAAACCCUUGGUGCUGAUUCAUUGAAGACGGCUCGACGAGGACGUCGAUUUCAAAGGGUGUGGGUGUUUAGUCAGGACCCUACUCUUUGUUAUCGGGCAUGGCACGGCUGUGGCAAGGAUUUGGGCAUGAUGGCCUUGUCAUUGGCUUAUGUGCGGGCAAAACGAUCAUGCGGGUCGACGGGCUGUUGUGGACAAGUACUGGCCAAGGCCUUGGCAUGGGCAAGGCGCGCUUGGAAAAGGCUUGAAAAGGCAGCAUCGGCAAUGUUUGGGCGGCAUGGCACGGCAUGCGCACCAAACUCAGUGGCAUGACACUCUUGGGUUGUGGCCGCUAUGUGCGGGCUUGAUGGCAAAGGCUUUCAAUAGCUAGGACUAGGCUAUGGGAAAGAAAAUACAAGCAAUGGCACGAGGGAAAUGAGGGUUGGCACGGACAAGGC
This 532-nucleotide long non-coding RNA is filed under the name Nicotiana benthamiana. RNAcentral's name for it is "long non-coding RNA (NBEN_LNC013623)". Lineage: Eukaryota; Viridiplantae; Streptophyta; Magnoliopsida; Solanales; Solanaceae. The record is from RNAcentral.